UUAAAUUGAAGAGUUUGAUCAUGGCUCAGAUUGAACGCUGGCGGCAGGCCUAACACAUGCAAGUCGAACGGUAACAGGAAACAGCUUGCUGUUUCGCUGACGAGUGGCGGACGGGUGAGUAAUGUCUGGGAAACUGCCUGAUGGAGGGGGAUAACUACUGGAAACGGUAGCUAAUACCGCAUAACGUCGCAAGACCAAAGAGGGGGACCCUCGGGCCUCUUGCCAUCGGAUGUGCCCAGAUGGGAUUAGCUUGUUGGUGGGGUAACGGCUCACCAAGGCGACGAUCCCUAGCUGGU
Molecule: ribosomal RNA, 296 nt
Filed under: Escherichia coli
Lineage: Bacteria; Pseudomonadati; Pseudomonadota; Gammaproteobacteria; Enterobacterales; Enterobacteriaceae
Description: partial 16S ribosomal RNA
Rfam family: Bacterial small subunit ribosomal RNA
Source: RNAcentral